UUGGAGGUUUUCAUUUCCUAUUAUAUUCUUUUAUAUGAAAACAUUGUAGUUACUUUGACUAAUGCCAUUUUGAUUAAUCUUUUAAAAAUAUUAUAGACCCUUUGGAGAACAGAAUAUUCCCAGUUUACUGAUUAUCAGAUGAUAUUUAGAUAUUUAAUUUCUGUUUAAUUUUUAUAUAUUGGGAAUGAUGAAUAGAUGAUAGAUUACUGUAAAUCUGUUCUUUCUUCUAAAAUGGAAACAUCUUAAAAUAUUUCUAAAUAAUUAUAAAUAUGUAAUUCUGAAUACAUUUUCCUGACAUUAAGGGGUGUUUUAAAGAUGUGUAGAUGAGAAACUCAAGAUUUGCCAAAUUUCUGUUUUGCAGGAGGUCUUAUUCCAGGAUUGGUAAUUAUCAUUUAAUGGAGAGAAGCUUUAAGGGUAAUCCAAGAUGGAUCAGAAAUUCAGGAUCUUCACGGUUAACGUGGUGGCAGUCAGAAAGAAAUGCAAUAGAACUGAUUUAAGCUCUAGAUCAUGAUAGCCUGUGAUGUGGUUAUGAUCUGUUAUUGUUUGCGAUUUUCUGUACCAUCAUAUAGUAAUGACAGUUUGUUAUGUAGUGGAGAUGACUGCACCAGACCUAUGUAAAAAUUUAGUUUCUACUAAAAAUAUUCUUCUUGAAGCUUAUGAGACUAUUUUAAAGUAAAUAAUUUCCUAAAGAAAUAGGCCUCUGGUGAAACACCAGGGAAUAAAGGAAAUAAAUUGAGAAAAAUGCCACAAGCUUAUUUUUAUUGAUCCCAUUCCCAUAGGUUUAAAUGUAAUUUUUAAUUAGAGUGUAUCACAGAAAAUACCCUUUUCAAUUUAUUUUAAAAGAUUUGAUCAUAUUUUUGCCCUUUUAACUUAUAUCUAGAGCAACACAUACUGUGAAAAGUUUAGAAAAGUUAAAUCUGAAGUCUGCCCUUGACGUGACUAGUCAAUUAUUUCUUAAAUAAAUGAUAAUAAAAACUUAAAAAACAGGUAAACAGAGCUGGCUUUUCUGUCUCCAAAUUGAGUAUAUUGA
Molecule: long non-coding RNA, 1030 nt
Filed under: Macaca mulatta (Rhesus monkey)
Lineage: Eukaryota; Metazoa; Chordata; Mammalia; Primates; Cercopithecidae
Description: lncRNA (ENSMMUG00000058993.1)
Source: RNAcentral